RNAcentral lists this unclassified non-coding RNA (330 nucleotides) under Hevea brasiliensis (rubber tree). Lineage: Eukaryota; Viridiplantae; Streptophyta; Magnoliopsida; Malpighiales; Euphorbiaceae. The record is from RNAcentral.
UCUUCCAAGUCUUUAUACAGCAACACCUACUCUCUCUCUCAGCCUCACCACCACCAACCAGCUCUCUUUCUUCUUCCUGGCAACAGGUCUCACAAGUCCAUAUCCCUCCCUUCAAUCACCGCCGUCCAUGCGGCCGAGCCCGCUAAGAAUACUGUCUCAGUGAAAGAGUCCAGGGCACCAUCAGCCCCGGGCACCGGCAAAUGGACGCUGGACAGCUGGAAGACGAAGAAAGCUUUGCAGCUUCCGGAAUACCCUGAUGCGAAUGAGCUGGAGUCUGUGUUGAAGACUAUUGAGACAUUUCCGCCAAUUGUUUUCGCUGGGGAAGCCAGG